This 1285-nucleotide long non-coding RNA is filed under the name Numida meleagris (helmeted guineafowl). RNAcentral describes it as "lncRNA (ENSNMEG00000001211.1)". Lineage: Eukaryota; Metazoa; Chordata; Aves; Galliformes; Numididae. The record is from RNAcentral.
GUCCGGGAUCUAUGGGGCUGGAUCUAUGGGUCCAGGAUCUAUGGGGCUGGGAUCUAUGGGUCCAGGAUGUGUGGGUCCGGGAUGUGUGGGGCUGGGAUCUGUGGGGCUGAGAUCUGUGGGUCCAAGAUCUAUGGGGCUGGGAUCUAUGGGGCUGAGAUCUGUGGGUCCGGGAUCUAUGGGGCUGGGAUCUAUGGGUCCGAAAUCUGUGGGUCCGGGAUCUAUGGGUCCGGGAUCAAUGGGACUGAGACCUGUGGGUCCGGGAUGUGUGGGUCCGGGAUGUGUGGGUCCAGGAUCUGUGGGUCCGGGAUCUAUGGGGCUGGGAUCUGUGGGGCUGGGAUCUAUGGGUCCGGGAUCUAUGGGGCUGGGAUCUAUGGGGCUGAGAUCUGUGGGUCCAGGAUCUGUGGGGCUGGAUCUAUGGGGCUGGGAUCUAUGGGGCUGAGACCUGUGGGUCUGGGAUCUGUGGGUCUGGGAUCUAUGGGGCUGAGACCUGUAGGUCCGGGAUCUAUGGGUCCAGGAUCUAUGGGUCCGGGAUCUAUGGGGCUGGGAUCUAUGGGGCUGAGACCUGUGGGUCCGGGAUCUGUGGGUCCGGGAUCUAUGGGGCUGAGAUCUAUGGGGCUGGGAUAUGUGGGUCCGGGAUCUAUGGGUCUGGGAUCUAUGGGGCUGAGAUCUGUGGGUCCAGGAUCUGUGGGGCUGGGAUCUAUGGGGCUGAGAUCUAUGGGGCUGGGAUAUGUGGGUCCGGGAUCUAUGGGUCUGGGAUCUAUGGGGCUGAGACCUGUAGGUCCGGGAUCUAUGGGUCCAGGAUCUAUGGGUCCGGGAUCAAUGGGGCUGGGAUCUAUGGGGCUGGGACCUGUGGGUCCAGGAUCUAUGGGGCUGGGAUCUAUGGGGCUGAGACCUGUGGGUCCGGGAUCUGUGGGUCUGGGAUCUAUGGGGCUGGGAUCAAUGGGGCUGAGACCUGUGGGUCCGGGAUGUGUGGGUCCAGGAUGUGUGGGUCCAGGAUGUGUGGGUCUGGGAUCUAUGGGGCUGGGAUCAGUGGGGGGGGGGGGUGUUGUGCAAUGCUGCCCCCCCCCCCCGGCGCCGUUCCGGGAAGCGGUGGGGCCGCCCCACACUCUGCCCCAUAGGUCAGGGCCCCGCGGGGGCCUCGGUCAACUCAUUAAGGGCGAAGGUCGUUAAGGGCGGCGCUGCUAAUUAGUGCCCGCCCCUCCCCCCAACCCCCACAGAGACACAGAGCGACCCAUAGAGACCNNNNNNNNNNNNNNNNNNNNNNNNNNNNNNNNNNNNNNNNNNN